This is a non-coding RNA of Drosophila suzukii, 643 nucleotides long. NCBI's taxonomy places the organism in Eukaryota, Metazoa, Arthropoda, Insecta, Diptera, Drosophilidae. The record is from RefSeq and is a predicted model, not a curated record.
CUCUAGUACAUUUUUACUUUCAGUUCAUAACUGACUGUCACACGCGUAGCAACUCCAGCAGGAAUAAAAACAAUCUUUGACCUAAGUCAUGGACCAGUACUGGUGUAAUUUUUUUAGCAGCAAGGAGAAUUCCAAAAAGAAGGAGAUGGAAAAUCGAGCCAAGCUGGAUGUAAUGAGAUAUAUACGGGAAUGUUCUGGAAAAAAAUAUGAUAAGCCAGUAACUCUGGCAGAUUGGGACGACAAAAGUAAUUUGGAGCAGGAAAUAGUGGACCAGAUGCGGCACUUAGGCUUAAAGUCGUGGAGCGAAUGUUCGGGACCGGAGGAACCCCUAAACUUGCCAGGGUUGCCACCUUCUAAAAGUCCAAUGGAGCUGGGCACUGGAAACAAUAGCUUUCCGCUAGUUGUGGAUCCGGAAUACUUUAAUCGGUUACACAUCUCUCCUGUUAAAAAUAAGAAAGACGUCUAACUGGGAUAUAAAACAUUUAAAAUAUCUGACCCUUGCGGAUGUCAUUCUGCUUUUUUGGCGCAGUCACGCUAAUUAGCCCCAGACAAGGACAAGCCAUCAGGCGACCACGCCCACGCCAUUUCAACCCAUUCGAAAGUCCUGCCAGACAAAAGGAGACCAAACCAAAGCUCGUCCUGC